GACGAACGCUGGCGGCGUGCUUAACACAUGCAAGUCGAACGGAAAGGCCCUGCUUUUGUGGGGUGCUCGAGUGGCGAACGGGUGAGUAACACGUGAGUAACCUGCCCUUGACUUUGGGAUAACUUCAGGAAACUGGGGCUAAUACCGGAUAGGAGCUCCUGCUGCAUGGUGGGGGUUGGAAAGUUUCGGCGGUUGGGGAUGGACUCGCGGCUUAUCAGCUUGUUGGUGGGGUAGUGGCUUACCAAGGCUUUGACGGGUAGCCGGCCUGAGAGGGUGACCGGCCACAUUGGGACUGAGAUACGGCCCAGACACCUACGGGAGGCAGCAGUGGGGAAUAUUGCGCAAUGGGCGGAAGCCGGAUGCAGAAACGCCGCGUGCGGGAUGACGGCCUUCGGGGUGUAAACCGCGUUCGCCUGUGACGAAGCGUGAGUGACGGUAAUGGGUAAAGAAGCACCGGCUAACUACGUG
This 468-nucleotide ribosomal RNA is filed under the name uncultured bacterium. RNAcentral describes it as "partial 16S ribosomal RNA". It matches the Rfam family "Bacterial small subunit ribosomal RNA", at positions 28 to 507 of the family's 1533-position model. The record is from RNAcentral.